Molecule: long non-coding RNA, 1588 nt
Organism: Sphaerodactylus townsendi
Lineage: Eukaryota; Metazoa; Chordata; Lepidosauria; Squamata; Sphaerodactylidae
Exons: 4
Source: RefSeq, a predicted model, not a curated record
UGACAAAGUAAAAACCCUAAAAUAUUUUUUAAAAUACAGCUGACAUGUAUAAGUUGAGGGGGGCUUUUUCAGCACAAAAAAUGUGCUGAAAAACUCGACUUAUACACCAGUAUAUAUGGUACUCAGCUCCUCAUAUAGGAAAUUAAUAAUUAUUAUUGUUAAACAUGGGAGAAGAAAUCUUUUGGGUGUUAUGUGAUCUGGGCUGGGGUUCCAGUCUACUCUAAUAUCAUUGAUGAAGUCAGAUAUGAAUGCGCCAUAUGAUGAUUAACUUCUGUUUCUUUUUUUUAUAAAAAUGGCAAAGUUCUGGUAAAUAUUUCUGACCAGUAGAAAAUGUCGAUGUGGAAUUUGUGAACCUUUCCUUAAUUCUGCUGAACGUAGGCUAUAAAACAUCUCUCCACUAAUGUCAUAGGAUCCAGAUUCAUCUGAUUCAGAAGAGAGUAGCAGUGGUGGUGAAGAUGAAGACUCUGAUGAAAAAGAGACAGACAAGGAAGAGGUGGAAGAAAAUGCAGCAGAAUUUUAUGAUCAAGCAUCCAGAAGUGAGGGACGGAGCAGAAAAUCACCCGACAGCACAGAAAGGAAUCAAGUGACUGUGGAAACCAUAAAGAAAGAAAUGGCCACUCCAGAAGGAGAAAUAACUCAGCAAGAGGGUGAGAAUACAGAGGUUUGUGCCAUGAAGAGUUCUUCAGGAGCAGUUACAGACAAUAAUGCUGACGGCACACAUGAAAGACUACUGGGGAAGAGGAAAAUGUUUUCUCUCUUUAAACUAAAGUCUUUGCGGCAGAAGAAUGCACACAACUGUAAUGAAAGCAGCCUUGAAAAGCUACCUCAGAGUGAAGCGGAAACUGGAAAGCAAGCAGGCCUACCUCACAAAGAUAGUCAAGAUGAAAACCAAAACCAUACUGAGCAAAAUCAGAAGGAAAUGUCACCCACAAAUCAGGGUAGAAAGACAUCCUCCACGUGUGUAAUACUUUAGUACCGAAGUGUCUGUAAUGAGAAGUUUGCGUAUGUGUGAUGGCGGAGGUGACUCGUUUUGCAAGGAAAGACUGCAAUUUAUACUUGAAAACAAUAAUGUAUGUGCAUAAUGAUUAUAGUCCCCCCUCUAAAAUUAGCAUGUUUGUAUUAAUAUAUUUUGGUGGAUUCCGCAUGGGCCAAAAACAGCGGUGUGAAAACCAUUUUCAGACUGUAUUCUGUUUACACCAUUUUCAGACUGUAUUCACGCCGCUGUUUUUGGCCCAUGCCGAAUCCACCUCUGAUUGUGGACCAACUCUCUAGUAUUUAUUAGUCUUCAUAGUUUAGAUAUUGCAACAAUAUGCUUAUCACAGUCUUGCUGAAACGUUGUGGCCUUAAUUCUCAGUGUUUUAAUAAAAAUAUAUUUUUAUAUGUCGAAAGCUAGAUUAAGCCAUUUUAUAAGUUUUCCUGAACAACUUUAUCUUUUGAAUCUAUAACUGUAAAUAUGCAUUGUAAAUACUCUUGGUUCAGCAAGAGAACCAGAGGAAUGGUUAUUUAAAACGUUUAUUCUCUAGCAUGUUUGUCUUUCAUAAAAGAAGCAAUAAAAUUCAUAAAUAUUGAAGUGUUUUGUCACUUCAGG